CCUACGGGCGGCAGCAGUGAGGAAUAUUGGUCAAUGGACGAGAGUCUGAACCAGCCAAGUAGCGUGAAGGAUGACUGCCCUAUGGGUUGUAAACUUCUUUUAUAUGGGAAUAAAAUGUUCCACGUGUGGGUUUUUGUAUGUACCAUAUGAAUAAGGAUCGGCUAACUCCGUGCCAGCAGCCGCGGUAAUACGGAGGAUCCGAGCGUUAUCCGGAUUUAUUGGGUUUAAAGGGAGCGUAGGUGGAUUGUUAAGUCAGUUGUGAAAGUUUGCGGCUCAACCGUAAAAUUGCAGUUGAAACUGGCAGUCUUGAGUACAGUAGAGGUGGGCGGAAUUCGUGGUGUAGCGGUGAAAUGCUUAGAUAUCACGAAGAACCCCGAUUGCGAAGGCAGCUCACUGGACUGCAACUGACACUGAGGCUCGAAAGUGUGGGUAUCAAACAGGAUUAGAUACCCCAGUAGUC
RNAcentral lists this ribosomal RNA (460 nucleotides) under uncultured bacterium. RNAcentral's name for it is "partial 16S ribosomal RNA". It matches the Rfam family "Bacterial small subunit ribosomal RNA", at positions 338 to 795 of the family's 1533-position model. The record is from RNAcentral.